GAAAGAGCGCGGGCUUGGGAGUCAGAGGUCCUGGGUUCGAAUCCCGGCUCUGCCACUUGGCAGCUGGGGGCCCGGGGGCAAGUCACUUCACUUCUCUGGGCUUCAGUGACCUCAUCUGUAAAAUGGGGAUGAAGACUGUGAGCCUCACAUGGGACAACCCGAUGACCCUGUAUCCACCCCGGCGCUUAGAACAGUGCUCUGCACAUAGUAAGCGCUUAACAAAUACCGACAUUAUUAUUAAAGGUCCGACUGGGCCUGGGAUUCCCUGAUAACUCAGGGGUCUGAAAGUAGCGGAUACCUGAAAACCCUGGAGCCCCUCAGCUCUCUCAUUUUCGAGGACUUCGAACAAUCUGUAGUUUUGCUACCGUUAUUCUACGCCCAACAUCAUUUUUCAAAAUUCCUUAAUGGAUCUCUAGAAAAACAGUUUUCUAAAUAUCGUCCCUUCAAGCCAAACUAUGGAAAUUUUAGCCACCUCUUCCCCGCCCCCGAUGCAAUUUCCCCUCUGACACAGAUCUCGGUGACUGGGAACGCUGAGAUCCACAGAGGGUCUUGUCUUUUGGAGAAACGAUUUUUAGCCUCCCUGAGCCUUUAGUCACCGAAAUGCCCGAUGCUUGCUGGAAGUCCGGUUGCCACGGCGACGGAACGUGGAUCAACAGAAAUGGAGUGGGGUGCUCUGAAAUGAUCCGUUUUCACAGCGAAGCUGCGAUGGGCUGUUUUGGAAGAAUCCGUUCCCAUGACCCUGAUUUCCGGCGAAUGGAUUUAUUUCCCCCAGAGUUUAGUGAAGAAAAGCUCUCGGAGAUAACAGCCCGGCCCCAGGACUCGCAGAAAAAGAGAAAGAGAGGCCGGCCUGGCCUAGCGGAAAGGACGCCGAGAGUCCAGAGACCGGCGUUUGACUCCCAGCUCUGUCUCCGGUCCGUGGUGUGACGUUGGGAGAGUCGCUUAACCUUUCCGGGCGUCGGUGUGGGGGAUACGAUACUCGCUCUCUCUUCCUCUUGGACUGCGAGCCCGUGUGGGACAGGGACUGUGUUCGGUCUCACUGUAUCUAACUCAAUUCACGGCGUCCAGUAGGUACCUAAUAAAGGAUUUAAAAACCACCCCCAACCAAACUGCUAAGGCAGAGAAAGCGCAGAGACACGUGAUCCAGUGGUUUGCUGCAGGCAAAUUGAGGCCUGCUUCAUCCAGGACAGGCCCUCUUUCACACUGUUCUUCAGAGAGAGCGAUGUCCCAGAUUUUCUUAGCCGUCUCCACCGGUGCUGGAUCAUCUCAAUAGGCGUCCUGCCCGGUCUUGUGUUCGAGCAAACUCUCCCCUGCAGCGAUCUGAACCCGUUUCCUCUCGCACGUCACCGCUAGUGACUUGGCAGCCCCAGCUCCGCCGACGACCUCCUGUGUGACCUAACCUCUCUGGGUUUCGAUUUCCUCAUCUGGGAAAUGGGUAUAUGAUCUCCGUCCUACCUCCCUCUUCGACCGUAAGCCACCAUGAAGGACGGGAACUGGGCCCGAUCUUGUAACCUGUAUUUACCUCAGGCCUCGGCACACAGAGAGCACCUAACAGAAGACGCUAUUAGUAAAAUUUCCCUUCCGACUGCGUCACCGAUACCCACUCCCCGAAGCCGAGGCUAGGCUGAAGAAUUCCCUAGAGUGCUGCUCUUCAGGCAGUCGUACGAUCUCUCCCAUCUUUCCUCCGUUCAGGAAAUUGCUCCGUCAUCACGGAACGUUCUGAGCAGAAUAAAUCUAGCUGGGGAGGAACGGCGUCGUCUGUCUCCGCUUUGCUCGAGUCCUUUCGCCGGGGGGGGGGGGGGGAGUUCAUCAAGAAAGGGGGGGCUUCCCUGUUCAAAGAGGACGAGGUUCACGCCUAAGUUGGGGGCGAUGGCUCACGGGAGAGCCAGGAAUGGCCAGAAAUGGCAGCGGGAGAGGACCCGGUCCUGGCCAUUUACUUGUCCGGGAUAAUUGGGUGAAGAUCCCUGCACGAAGUAGAGGCGGUUCUGCCAGGGCACGCAUCUUCACUACCCUAUUUGGCUAAAAUGCGCUGAAAGGACUGGGGCCAGUUCUCCCCACGGUGUGAGUCCGUUCUCAUCCAAAAGGAUCCACGAGUUGGCCCAAGUAAUAAUAAUAAUGUUGGUAUUUGUUAAGCGCUUACUAUGUGCAGAGCACUGUUCUAAGCCCUGGAGUAGAUACGUGUCCCACGUGCGGCUCACAGUCAAUCCCCACUUUACAGAUGAGGUAACUGAGGCACAGAGCAGUGAAGUGACUUGCCCACGGUCCCACAGCUAACCAGUGGCAGAGUCGGG
RNAcentral lists this long non-coding RNA (2288 nucleotides) under Ornithorhynchus anatinus (platypus). Its description in RNAcentral is "lncRNA (ENSOANG00000051278.1)". The record is from RNAcentral. Lineage: Eukaryota; Metazoa; Chordata; Mammalia; Monotremata; Ornithorhynchidae.